UGGGGAAUAUUGGACAAUGGGCGAAAGCCUGAUCCAGCAAUGCCGCGUGAGUGAUGAAGGCCUUAGGGUUGUAAAGCCCUUUUACCAGGGAUGAUAAUGACAGUACCUGGAGAAUAAGCUCCGGCUAACUCCGUGCCAGCAGCCGCGGUAAUACGGAGGGAGCUAGCGUUGUUCGGAAUUACUGGGCGUAAAGAGUACGUAGGCGGUGAUUCAAGUCAGAGGUGAAAGCCUGGAGCUCAACUCCAGAACUGCCUUUGAAACUAGAUCGCUAGAAUCAUGGAGAGGUUAGUGGAAUUCCGAGUGUAGAGGUGAAAUUCGUAGAUAUUCGGAAGAACACCAGUGGCGAAGGCGACUAACUGGACAUGUAUUGACGCUGAGGUACGAAAGCGUGGGGAGCAAACAGGAUUAGAUACCCCGGUAGUCCCUG
RNAcentral lists this ribosomal RNA (427 nucleotides) under uncultured bacterium. RNAcentral describes it as "bacterial SSU rRNA". It matches the Rfam family "Bacterial small subunit ribosomal RNA", at positions 355 to 799 of the family's 1533-position model. The record is from RNAcentral.